CCUACGGGCGGCAGCAGUGAGGAAUAUUGGUCAAUGGACGAGAGUCUGAACCAGCCACGUCGCGUGAAGGAUGACUGCCCUAUGGGUUGUAAACUUCUUUUAUAAAGGAAUAAAACGAGGCACGUGUGCCGUUGUGCAUGUACUGUAUGAGUAAGGAUCGGCUAACCCCGUUCCAGCAGCCGCGGUAAUACGGAGGAUCCGAGCGUUACCCGGAUUUAUUGGGUUUAAAGGGAGCGUAGAUGGGAUGUUAAGGCAGUUGUGAAAGUUUGCGGCUCAACCGUAAAAUUGCAAUUGAUACUGGCAGUCUUGAGUACAGUUGAGGUAAGCGGAAUUCGUGGUGUAGCGGUGAAAUGCUUAGAUAUCACGAAGAACCCCGAUUGCGAAGGCAGCUUACU
This 395-nucleotide ribosomal RNA is filed under the name uncultured bacterium. Its description in RNAcentral is "partial 16S ribosomal RNA". It matches the Rfam family "Bacterial small subunit ribosomal RNA", at positions 338 to 730 of the family's 1533-position model. The record is from RNAcentral.